Molecule: long non-coding RNA, 712 nt
Filed under: Marmota monax (woodchuck)
Lineage: Eukaryota; Metazoa; Chordata; Mammalia; Rodentia; Sciuridae
Source: RNAcentral
GGACACCCGAGGAGGCCAUGGGAAGGCCCAUCCCUGUGGACUUGGGACCAGGUCCUCACUGAGGGUGUCCCAGGAGGCAGCACGUGCCAUCACUGGGGAUGGGCGCUCAGUGCAGGGUUCAGCCCUGCCUGGUGUGGACACCACCAGGUCCACUGUCCCUCCCAGCUGUCCUGCCCAGCUGUCCCAGCCCUGUCAUCUCCCCGUCCUCUGAGGUCACAGGGCAGGAGGCGUGGCCUCAAACCCAGGCCUGGAGAGGAGGGGCUCCCUGCACCUUAGAGACAGGAGGACCCCCUGCUCCCUAGAGAGAGAGGGGGCUCCCUGCACCCUAUAUAGAGAGGAGGGGGCUCCCCGCACCUUAGAGAGGAGGGGCUCCCCACACCCCAGAGACAGGAGGACCCCCUGCUCCCUAGAGAGGAGGGGUCCCUGCACCCUAGAGAGAGGAGGGCUCCCCGCACCACCACCUGGUUUUUCCCGUACCCCUUGGAGGUGACCAGGUCUCUGAGGACGGCGCAGGCGCCUGCUGUCCCUUCCUCUGAAGUGCCUCCGCCCCCCUGGCCAGGCCCCCCGGGGUCCUGGACAGCUCAGAUGGUCUUGGGCUGGGGUGUCUGGGUGGCUGCCUGCCCCUGGUCCCAAGGUUCGGUCCCCUCGGGCGCUCAAGGUAGCAGGGCUGCUGGCCCAGGGCCUCAGGGGCUCAGCAGGCCGGGUGCCCGCG